UACGGAGGGUGCAAGCAUUAAUCGGAUUUAUUGGGCGUAAAGGGGGCGUAGGCGGGAAAGAAAGUCAGAUGUGAAAUUCCGGGGCUCAACUUCGGAGCUGCAUUUGAAACUUCUUUUCUAGAGGGUAGGCGGAGAAAACAGAACUCCACAAGUAGCGGUGAAAUGCGUAGAUAUGUGGAAGAAUACCGGUGGCGAAGGCGGUUUUCUAGCUUAUUCCUGACGCAAAGGCCCGAAAGCUAGGGGAG
RNAcentral lists this ribosomal RNA (245 nucleotides) under uncultured Parachlamydia sp. RNAcentral describes it as "partial 16S ribosomal RNA". It matches the Rfam family "Bacterial small subunit ribosomal RNA", at positions 524 to 768 of the family's 1533-position model. Lineage: Bacteria; Pseudomonadati; Chlamydiota; Chlamydiia; Parachlamydiales; Parachlamydiaceae. The record is from RNAcentral.